Molecule: unclassified non-coding RNA, 1355 nt
Filed under: Hevea brasiliensis (rubber tree)
Lineage: Eukaryota; Viridiplantae; Streptophyta; Magnoliopsida; Malpighiales; Euphorbiaceae
Source: RNAcentral
GGACACUGGGGUGAAAGUUGACCCCAUUCAAUGGUGGGAUGUAUGUCGAAGAGCUGAUUGGCCUGAAAGAGAGGAAUGUAUUCAUGGCAUUACUCUAGGUGGCCGUGAACCUACAGACAUAGUCAUGGAAGAUUCUCUUUCUGAAGAUGAUGAUAAAGGAGAAAAGGAUUUGGCUAAACUAUGUGAUCGGUCUCAUUGGUACCUUUCCAAUGCUGAGGUGCAGUUGAAGUCUGGGAGGAUACCUAUUUGGCAAAAGUCCAAGAUAUACUUCUGUACCAUGAGUCUUUCUGGAUAUGAAGAGCAGGAUAUCUCUAGAAGUUCUGCUGCUGGUGAGAUUGAGAUUGAGAAGAUUCCUGUCAAUGAGGUCGAAGUAAGGCGUAAAGACCUGCUGCCUGUGUUUGACCAUUUCCACAGGAUUCCAUCAAAGUGGUCAGAGGAUAGCUCUUCCAUUGGUAAAGAGAAGUCAGGGGACGGCACAACUGGUAUAUCCAGGGCAGACUCUCUCUCUGAGAAAAGCUUUCCUUCUGGUUCUUCACAAGUUGCCCGUAUACAUGAAGUUGGUAUGGGGCCAAUUUCGUAUCCAUGUAUUGAACUCUCUAUGGAAGAAAGUGAUGGGUCGAGAAGUUCUAGUUAUACUGCAGCCCCACAAGUGUGUAAAAACAUGCCUGCUGGUCUGGAAUCAUCCCCAAAUAUCUUGUGCUCCGUUGAGGAAAGCUAUGUGGUAAAUAGUCCAUCUCCUCCCAAAAUUGAAUCCUUCUCCACUGGAGGAACCAGUGCAAGGGAGGUUCAGUCCUCAAACAGUGUCAUUACCAGUGAAGCUUCAAACUCAAGUUCCAAUCGUUCCGACUUGAGUAUGAACAUAAUUGACGAACAAACUGUCAAUGAAGAUAUAUGCGACCCUGUAGAUUUUGGUCAAUUUUUUCAAGAAGGCUACUGUAAGGCUUCAACUACCAAUGAAUUGCAGGAGGUAACUGAACUGGUUGCUGAUAUGGAUAGCAGUAGUAGUCCUUGCAACAAAGAGAAAACUGAUGAUGAUGGGGAAAGUGAUGAUAUGCUGGGAGGUGUGUUUGACUUCUUCGAAGAAGGUUGAUGCCCGACUCUGAUUCCCGCGUCAUACCAGCCUAAUCUUAUUUCGAUGACAUUUAGUAUUGCUGGUAGUAGGAUAUUGGCCAAUUCAGUGGAACAUAUCGUAUAUGCCAUUGAAUAGAGCUGAACAUUUCAGAAGAAACCUACUGACUGAUAUGUGAAAUAUGACUUUAGUGUUUCCUUUUUGCCGGAGUGAAGAUGCCUGGUUUCUUCUGUCUGAUUCUCCUGUAUAUGGUGUAUAGUAAAAUUCAUGGUGCAAAUGAUUGGUG